ACGGGUAUAGUUUAGUGGUAGAACAUGGGUCUCCAAAACCUAGAGUGUGGGUUCGAUUCCUACUACCCGUGCCA
This 74-nucleotide transfer RNA is filed under the name Minisyncoccota bacterium. Its description in RNAcentral is "tRNA-Trp". It matches the Rfam family "tRNA". Rfam says of the family: Transfer RNA (tRNA) molecules are approximately 80 nucleotides in length. The record is from RNAcentral. Lineage: Bacteria; Bacillati; Minisyncoccota.